UCCCUGGUGUCUCAAAUGGUAAAGAAUCCACCUGCAAUGUGGGAAACCCAGGUUCCAACCCUGGGUUGGGAA
Molecule: transfer RNA, 72 nt
Filed under: Ovis aries (sheep)
Lineage: Eukaryota; Metazoa; Chordata; Mammalia; Artiodactyla; Bovidae
Rfam family: tRNA
About the family: Transfer RNA (tRNA) molecules are approximately 80 nucleotides in length. Their secondary structure includes four short double-helical elements and three loops (D, anti-codon, and T loops). Further hydrogen bonds mediate the characteristic L-shaped molecular structure. tRNAs have two regions of fundamental functional importance: the anti-codon, which is responsible for specific mRNA codon recognition, and the 3' end, to which the tRNAs corresponding amino acid is attached (by aminoacyl-tRNA synthetases). tRNAs cope with the degeneracy of the genetic code in two manners: having more than one tRNA (with a specific anti-codon) for a particular amino acid; and 'wobble' base-pairing, i.e. permitting non-standard base-pairing at the 3rd anti-codon position.
Source: Rfam by way of RNAcentral